CAGUCGCCGCGGUAAUACGGAGGAUGCGAGCGUUAUCCGGAUUUAUUGGGCGUAAAGGGCUCGCAGGCGGUUUCUUAAGUCUGAUGUGAAAGCCCCCGGCUCAACCGGGGAGGGUCAUUGGAAACUGGGAAGCUUGAGUGCAGAAGAGGAGAGUGGAAUUCCACGUGUAGCGGUGAAAUGCGUAGAGAUGUGGAGGAACACCAGUGGCGAAGGCGACUCUCUGGUCUGUAACUGACGCUGAGGAGCGAAAGCGUGGGGAGCGAACAGGAUUAGAGACCCGCGUAGUCCCUGUCUCUUAUAC
Molecule: ribosomal RNA, 301 nt
Filed under: uncultured bacterium
Lineage: Bacteria
Description: partial 16S ribosomal RNA
Rfam family: Bacterial small subunit ribosomal RNA
Source: RNAcentral